GACGAACGCUGGCGGCGUGCUUAACACAUGCAAGUCGAACGGAAAGGCCCUGCUUUUGUGGGGUGCUCGAGUGGCGAACGGGUGAGUAACACGUGAGUAACCUGCCCUUGACUUUGGGAUAACUUCAGGAAACUGGGGCUAAUACCGGAUAGGAGCUCCUGCUGCAUGGUGGGGGUUGGAAAGUUUCGGCGGUUGGGGAUGGACUCGCGGCUUAUCAGCUUGUUGGUGGGGUAGUGGCUUACCAAGGCUUUGACGGGUAGCCGGCCUGAGAGGGUGACCGGCCAUAUUGGGACUGAGAUACGGCCCAGACUCCUACGGGAGGCAGCAGUGGGGAAUAUUGCACAAUGGGCGGAAGCCUGAUGCAGCAACGCUGCGUGCGGGAUGACGGCCUUCGGGUUGUAAACCGCUUUCGCCUGUGACGAAGCGUGAGUGACGGUAAUGGGUAAAGAAGCACCGGCUAACUACGUG
This 468-nucleotide ribosomal RNA is filed under the name uncultured bacterium. RNAcentral's name for it is "partial 16S ribosomal RNA". It matches the Rfam family "Bacterial small subunit ribosomal RNA", at positions 28 to 507 of the family's 1533-position model. The record is from RNAcentral.